GAAAUGCGAUAAGUAAUGUGAAUUGCAGAAUUCAGUGAAUCAUCGAAUCUUUGAACGCACCUUGCACUCCUUGGUAUUCCUUGGAGCAUGCCUGUUUGAGUAUCAUGAAAUCUUCAAAGUAAAUCUUUUGUUAACUCAAUUGGUUUCUACUUUGGUAUUGGAGGUCUUUGCAGCUUCACACCUGCUCCUCUUUGUUCAUUAGCUGGAUCUCGGUGUUAUGCUUGGUUCCACUCGGCGUGAUAAGUUAUCUAUCGCUGAGGACACUGUAAAAGGUGGCCAAGGUAAAUGCAGAUGAACCGCUUCUAAUAGUCCAUUGACUUGGACAAUACUUUUAUGAUCUGAUCUCAAAUCAGGUAGGACUACCCGCUGAACUUAAGC
This 378-nucleotide unclassified non-coding RNA is filed under the name plant metagenome. Its description in RNAcentral is "partial contains 5.8S ribosomal RNA, internal transcribed spacer 2, and large subunit ribosomal RNA". The stretch from base 1 to 105 matches the Rfam family "5.8S ribosomal RNA", at positions 50 to 154 of the family's 154-position model. The record is from RNAcentral.